AACGCGAAGAACCUUACCAAGUCUUGACAUCCCCCUGAAUCUGUUAGAGAUAGCAGCGGCCUUCGGGACAGGGGAGACAGGUGGUGCAUGGUUGUCGUCAGCUCGUGUCGUGAGAUGUUGGGUUAAGUCCCGCAACGAGCGCAACCCUUAGGUCUAGUUGCCAGCAUUAAGUUGGGCACUCUAGAACGACUGCCGGUGACAAACCGGAGGAAGGUGGGGAUGACGUCAAAUCAUCAUGCCCCUUAUGACUUGGGCUACACACGUACUACAAUGGCCGGUACAACGGGCCGCGAAGCCGCGAGGUGGAGCCAAUCCUAAAAAGCCGGUCUCAGUUCGGAUUGCAGGCUGCAACUCGCCUGCAUGAAGUCGGAAUUGCUAGUAAUCGCGGAUCAGCAUGCCGCGGUGAAUACGUUCCCGGGCCUUGUACACACCGUAGUAC
Molecule: ribosomal RNA, 439 nt
Filed under: uncultured bacterium
Lineage: Bacteria
Description: bacterial SSU rRNA
Rfam family: Bacterial small subunit ribosomal RNA
Source: RNAcentral